UACGGAGGAUGCGAGCGCUAUCCGGAUUUAUUGGGUUUAAAGGGUGCGUAGGCGGACGCUUAAGUCAGCGGUAAAAUUGCGGGGCUCAACCUCGUCGAGCCGUUGAAACUGGGUGUCUUGAGUGGGCGAGAAGUACGCGGAAUGCGUGGUGUAGCGGUGAAAUGCAUAGAUAUCACGCAGAACUCCGAUUGCGAAGGCAGCGUACCGGCGCCCAACUGACGCUGAAGCACGAAGGCGUGGGUAUCGAACAGG
This 252-nucleotide ribosomal RNA is filed under the name uncultured bacterium. RNAcentral describes it as "partial 16S ribosomal RNA". It matches the Rfam family "Bacterial small subunit ribosomal RNA", at positions 524 to 776 of the family's 1533-position model. The record is from RNAcentral.